Molecule: ribosomal RNA, 429 nt
Filed under: Bacteroidota bacterium
Lineage: Bacteria; Pseudomonadati; Bacteroidota
Description: Bacteroidetes bacterium partial 16S ribosomal RNA
Rfam family: Bacterial small subunit ribosomal RNA
Source: RNAcentral
UAGGGAAUCUUCCGCAAUGGACGCAAGUCUGACGGAGCAACGCCGCGUGAGUGAAGAAGGAUUUCGGUUCGUAAAACUCUGUUGUUAGAGAAGAACAGCGCAUAGAGUAACUGUUAUGCGUGUGACGGUAUCUAACCAGAAAGCCACGGCUAACUACGUGCCAGCAGCCGCGGUAAUACGUAGGUGGCAAGCGUUGUCCGGAUUUAUUGGGCGUAAAGCGAGCGCAGGCGGUCAAUUAAGUCUGAUGUGAAAGCCCCCGGCUCAACCGGGGAGGGUCAUUGGAAACUGGUUGACUUGAGUGCAGAAGAGGAGAGUGGAAUUCCAUGUGUAGCGGUGAAAUGCGAAGAUAUAUGGAGGAACACCAGUGGCGAAGGCGACUCUCUGGUCUGUAACUGACGCUGAGGCUCGAAAGCGUGGGUAGCAAACAGG